GGAAGUAAAAGUCGUAACAAAGGUUUCCGUAGGUGAACCUGCGGAAGGAUCAUUACAAAAUGUUAUGGGAUGUCCUAACGGGCACCCAAGCAAACACAUCCAUAUUAAACUUUUGAAACAAUUACUAGUCUGAUAAGGCCAUAUGCUGUAAAAAUUUAAAUAUAUUAAAACUUUCAACAACGGAUCUCUUGGCUCUC
RNAcentral lists this unclassified non-coding RNA (197 nucleotides) under plant metagenome. RNAcentral's name for it is "partial contains small subunit ribosomal RNA, internal transcribed spacer 1, and 5.8S ribosomal RNA". The stretch from base 1 to 55 matches the Rfam family "Eukaryotic small subunit ribosomal RNA", at positions 1778 to 1831 of the family's 1831-position model. The record is from RNAcentral.